CUUUUACUUGUUGACAAGUCAAACACUAAGCCACAAAUCUGCCAAUAUCUCUCUUCAUUCUAUUCCACCAGAAGUGUGCCUUCAAAUCUUUAUACAUCUUGGUUCCACCGUGGUGAACCGUAUAAGGUGAGUAGUGAGUAGUGAGCCUCUCUCAAAAUCUCCUCUCGGAUCUCAGAAUCCAUAGACACACACAGUCGGUCCCUGUACUGCGGUACUCCCGAAAUGUCCACAACAAAACCUUCUGCAUGUCCCCUCUCUAUCUGCUCUCGAAUCCUCAACAAGUGAGGGUCUCCACUCUGUUUCUCCUUAAUUCUGUCCAACAGAGUGGACUGCAAGACCAUAGACAGCAGUCUCGC
Molecule: long non-coding RNA, 356 nt
Filed under: Ananas comosus (pineapple)
Lineage: Eukaryota; Viridiplantae; Streptophyta; Magnoliopsida; Poales; Bromeliaceae
Description: long non-coding RNA (ACOM_LNC007432)
Source: RNAcentral